Molecule: long non-coding RNA, 2108 nt
Organism: Bos taurus (domestic cattle)
Lineage: Eukaryota; Metazoa; Chordata; Mammalia; Artiodactyla; Bovidae
Source: Ensembl
AGAACCUUUGAGAGCAAAUGCUAAGGGGCAUCAGAGCUGAUCUGCUUACAGACAGGGAGGCUCCGAGGAACCGGCUGAGUAGUUUAACAACAGGAGGGGAGAAGCCAAGGGGGCCCAAGUGGCAAUAAUAGAGCAGAUUUAUCACUCGAUUCCUGAGAUUUAUUUUAGAGGAGUGAAAAAUGAAGGGCGGAGACCUGAAAGAGGACAGAAUCUUUUCGGAGCAACAGAACAUGAAUAUCUGUUAUAAAUCUUCCACCUUUAAUUACUCUUAAAGGUGGUUAUGAAUUUAAUACUUGUAUAGGGCUUGGCUUUUGAGAAAGUAGACAGUUAUAAAGGGACUGAUGAUACAUACAGAAUGACUUUCAAAAGGAAUACACAGGCUGCAUGCCCUGUCCUUAAAAUGGAGACAGGACCCCAUCAAGGAUAUUAUGGCCUCUUACUAGAUCAGUACAUAGCGGGGCUCUGUGAUCACAAUUCAGAGGACCUAAAGCAUUAGAAACUGAAAAGAUGAAGAAGAAAAGAACUGUGAAUAUAGGGCAACAAGCAUGGUGGUCGGGCUCCAGAUAACUGCUCUUGUCCUUGCUCCACUACUGAUUGGCUCUGUGACCUUGAACAAGUCACUUCACCUUAAAGAAACUGCUUCUUCGUUUGAAAAUGGAGUCAUCACAUUUAUCUGCUCUAAGCGAGCUUCACCAGCAGCAGGCAAGGUCUGUAACACACUAGGAAACUAAGAGAGACUGUACAAAUCCACAGUAUCUUACAACAGAGAAUCAUCCUUUUCACCCUCCGGUGGCAUCAAGCUCAACAGUUUACCAGUCUGCACAGCUUCUGCCCUGCUCCAGACCUCAAGAUCUUCACUUUGACCACUGCAACUGACUUGUUUUGCCAUUUGAGUGCAUCAUCAACCAGAGCAAUCUUUUCAAAUUGCAAGUGUGGUCAAGUCUCUCCCUUUCUCAUAACCCUUCCCAUCAUUUCUAGAUUACAUUUUAAGAAUGCAGACGACCUUCACAACUUGUCUUCAAACUCCAUAUCCAAGCAUUGCUGACCACUUGCUGUCACAAUCCCUAUAUUGCAGCUAAGUUGAGCUAUUUGAAAUUUCCUCAAGAUACCUUGAUCUCUCAUGACUCCAGGCUGUACUACACACUCAUUUCUUUUUCUGGAGGCCUUUCCCAUUUGACAUGUUCCAACAUAUCCUUCAAGACCCACUUCAAAUACUAUUUUCCCUGAGAAGCUUUCUCCAACUCCCCCAGGCUGUUAAUAUUUCUGUUAUCUUUGAUUUUUAACCUACACAUUUAUUUGUUCACACUUGAAUUUCUGCCAUUUCCCUUAGGAAAAAAAUGUUCCAUAAACUGCUUCUUGAGUUUGAUUCUCUCCUUUUUCAUUUGUAGCCCUGAAUAUUCUACCUUACUGACAGCUCCAAGGUCAGUGCUUUGACCUUGUAAAAACACAGUGUAAAUCAUGUGUUUAAAAAAAAAAAUUUUCAGCAGCUGCUAAAAUCAAAUGAAUUUGGGGUAAAAUGAAUAUGAUUUUUAGGUCAUCAUCUGCUAUAUGGAACAUUUCUUUACCUGUAAGCAAUCUGGCGGGGGAUGGCAAGAGGCAGUAAAUUCACCUGCUUUGGUUAAUUCUGGAGAGUCAGUACCUGAUUGAAAAUUCCCUUCUGUGCCCUCAUGAUGCUCUAUGCACAGCUCUAGCCAAGCUUUUAUCUCCAGACUUCUCAUCACUACUUAUUUCUUAGCCUCCCAGAGAAGGUCCAUGGCCGGGACAAUGGAUCCCUCUUCAUAUUCCCCAGCAGCAAGCCCUGUUUGUGAGACAUGCUUGGUACUCAAUUUAGAAAUGUUCAUUGCAUAAAUAACAGUAGCUAACAUUUGUGGAGGGCUUAUUAUGUGCCAGACAGGCACUGUUCUAAACACCUUCUGUGUAUCAACUCAUCUAAUUCUCAAAAUAACCCUAUAGGAUAGGAAUUAUAAUUAUCCGCAUUUUAAAAAUGAGCAAACAGAAACCCAAAAUAUGUGCAGAAGCUUGAUUUAGAACUUGAGUUCUCGGCAAGAGAGCCAUACCUCCACCACAACAAAAUACUGCCUCUCAUGUUGAAUAAACAAACCAUUUGU